This 72-nucleotide transfer RNA is filed under the name Camelus bactrianus (Bactrian camel). It matches the Rfam family "tRNA". Rfam says of the family: Transfer RNA (tRNA) molecules are approximately 80 nucleotides in length. Their secondary structure includes four short double-helical elements and three loops (D, anti-codon, and T loops). The record is from Rfam by way of RNAcentral. RNAcentral also lists the same sequence under 2 other names. Lineage: Eukaryota; Metazoa; Chordata; Mammalia; Artiodactyla; Camelidae.
GAGGGUGUAGCUUAGGGGUAGAGCGUGUGCUUAGCAUGCACAAGGUCCUGGGUUCAAUCCCCAGCACCUCCA